Molecule: unclassified non-coding RNA, 1247 nt
Filed under: Hevea brasiliensis (rubber tree)
Lineage: Eukaryota; Viridiplantae; Streptophyta; Magnoliopsida; Malpighiales; Euphorbiaceae
Source: RNAcentral
GUAAAGAGCUCGUUUGCGGAGCAAGUAUGAUACGCAUGGCCCACUAAAACAGAUUUAAAGAGAAUUAGGUGUAUUGAGAUAAACCAACAUCACACAUCAACAUGUAGAAUUCAUUUAAUUUAACAAUACAUUAGAUGAAAAGGCAUAAAUGAAAUGAAAAACAUUACAGUUCAUGAAUAUCUUAUAUUAUAACACCACAUAAUUAUGAUCACAAAUUUAUAAUAGCACAUUUGAAAUAUCUAGUUGAUAAAUCAAGAUACCUAUCUUAAUUCAACACUGUGGCCUUGUUUGGCACUGAGGUUCUGAUAAAAAAGCGCUUUUUCUGAAAAAUUGGAGCUCUUAUUACUAAAAUAUAUCAUUUUUAAUACCAUCUAACAUACAGAAAAGUGCUUUUCUUAAAACCAGUUUCAAUAGGCAAAUAGCAUUAGUUUUUCCCCAGAUAAAGGAAUUCAAGACUGUGAAUGAAUUGGGGGUAAAAAAGCAUAAAAUAGAUAAAUUGAAUUAAUAUGAACUAGUAAAUCCCAAGGAUGAGAGGUGAGAACAAACGGUAAGAAGGAAAGGUUUUCCUUCCAAAGAAUUAUAAUUUAUCAGAAUUCACGAAUAGUAUCAAAGUCAACCGUAUGUCAUAGAAAGUCAAAAAGCGUUAUUUAAAAUAAUAAAAAAGUAAGUGUAAUUCAACAAUCAGGAGCCAAAGAAACUAAUAGGAAACGAAAAAAAUGAUAACCAUAACCAAGAAGAGCUAGAUCUACUUUCCAAAAGCAAAUAAGCAGUAUCAAGAGUACUCACCACCAAAAAGAAAAGCAGCAAUCUGCACCCUCAUACCAACAAAUCGAAGAAAACACACAUAUCAGAGAAAUUAAAUUAACAAAUAAACAGCACUAUACCUUAUAAAGUACACAGAAAGACAUAAAUAAACAUACAAGGGGUGUCAGCUUGGAUGGUUCUCAUGAGAUCAGUGUGCCAGAGAUUCCUGUAAUUCUGGCGGAUCUGCAUCUUGUCCAGAUGCUCCCGAGAAGCCAUGGCGACCCAAAAGCAGGCACACCACUAGAUUGCGGAGAUUUGAGAAUUGAAAUCAGAGAUAUCGAGUGUGUAGGGAAGCGCAAGAAAGAGUCCUUUUGACUCGUUGGACGAAGUUUCUUCGUUGUCGAGACUCUUCAGAACUCCACCAUCCUUCAAAUCAAAGCCGAUAUAAACUACAAUAGGAGGAAUUCUUCCCAAUGCUAAGACGAGGACUUUGAAGGAUGGUG